CUACGGGUGGCUCCAGUGAGGAAUAUUGCACAGUGGGGGGAACCCUGAUGCAGCAACGCCGCGUGGAGGAUGACGCAUUUCGGUGUGUAAACUCCUUUUAUAUGUCAAGAAAAUGACGGUAGCAUAUGAAUAAGCACCGGCUAACUCCGUGCCAGCAGCCGCGGUAAUACGGAGGGUGCAAGCGUUACUCGGAAUCACUGGGCGUAAAGGACGCGUAGGCGGGCUUGUAAGUCAGGUGUGAAAUCCUACAGCUUAACUGUAGAACUGCACUUGAAACUACGAGCCUAGAGUAUGGGAGGGGCAGAUGGAAUUAGUGGUGUAGGGGUAAAAUCCGUAGAUAUCACUAGGAAUACCUAAAGCGAAGGCGAUCUGCUGGAACAUAACUGACGCUAAGGCGUGAAAGCGUGGGGGGCAAACAGGAUUAGAUACCCGCGUAGUC
This 439-nucleotide ribosomal RNA is filed under the name uncultured bacterium. RNAcentral's name for it is "partial 16S ribosomal RNA". It matches the Rfam family "Bacterial small subunit ribosomal RNA", at positions 339 to 795 of the family's 1533-position model. The record is from RNAcentral.